Molecule: long non-coding RNA, 141 nt
Organism: Mya arenaria
Lineage: Eukaryota; Metazoa; Mollusca; Bivalvia; Myida; Myidae
Exons: 3
Source: RefSeq, a predicted model, not a curated record
UAAACGGCGAAAGAAUAACGCAGUCAACAUAAUAGAAAAUGUUGAAAAUCACAGCGUCACCUCGUCGGACAAUGGCGUGCUACACAUAGCAACAGAAGGAGUCCAGUACGCAGUCGUGCAGAGACAGGCGGCCACACGUAG